UAUGAGCUGAGAAAAAUUAGAGGAGAAGCUGACAAUGAGUGUCCUGCUUGUGAUAAACCCCUUUAGCAGUACAUAUUGAUGGCAACAAGAAGCUGUAUCGUUACAACAAAGUUGGGAGAGGUAUCAGAAACCCCUAUUAUUCUGAUAGUAUCUUCAGCAAAGAUGAAGAUGUUCAAGCUCAUGUUGGCACUAUUCAGAGCUUGAAAACUAAGGUAUUGUAUGGAGGGCGGUGGCAAGAAGGAAGUGGCAUGACUUUAGGGGAAGAGGCAGAGCAAGUGUUUGCAUACCUCUCACGAUACAACUCUACAACUAAAAACAUGCUGAAAGCUG
Non-coding RNA from Procambarus clarkii (red swamp crayfish), 330 nucleotides. The record is from RefSeq and is a predicted model, not a curated record. Lineage: Eukaryota; Metazoa; Arthropoda; Malacostraca; Decapoda; Cambaridae.